Long non-coding RNA from Ornithodoros turicata, 2531 nucleotides. RefSeq lists it as uncharacterized. The record is from RefSeq and is a predicted model, not a curated record. The transcript is spliced from 2 exons. NCBI's taxonomy places the organism in Eukaryota, Metazoa, Arthropoda, Arachnida, Ixodida, Argasidae.
AGGCGCUAGAUCCUGAGGGGUAUCAUUCGUUGUGUUCGUACGCCUCGGCGGCGGUGGCUAUGAAUGUAGUGCCCUGGUCAGCGCAUGAAGACAUCGAUUGUUCUCAGUCGUCGGUUUCGCGCUGUCGUGGGUUGACGUGUGUGUGUGUUGUGCUUCUUGUUUCAUGCUAAUUACCACAUGGAGGUGGAACCCCUGUAGCUGACCAAAAAGGCCAGGACUGUCAGAUGCCAUAUAUGAAUUGGGUAUGGGAUAGAGAGAAAUAUUGAGAUUCUAUUGGAGAAUUUGCAUACCCCUGCUUAUGCUACUCCUCACUAGGCCAACCAAAGCAGGCACCCAAUUGUUCUCGUGCUGAGCUGACGGAUUCGUAACCGUCAUUCUUUACUUAUAAUUCUCAGUAAUUGCACACUACUCACAAUUAUGUUUUACUUUCAGUUCAAGUUCUUCAAACAGAGCUGACCCAACAGAAGGCCUCUGGUGGCACACUGUAAUCAAGUGCGCCACUCCCACAGGAUUAUUGCAUUGGCCUUUUGCAUUCAUGCCUGAAUGCUGUCCAGGGCAUCCCACAGGCACCAGCUGCGUGACGAUGCCCCACCCCACAGAUUGUCUUAUGCCAACAGCGUGCUCCCGUAGGGAACUAUAGACACUAGAAGAUGGACUGUGGACAUGCUAAGGAAUUCUUCAGUAGCUUCAUGGUGCACUGGACGAAGUAAACAAACGGCCCUUAUCAGGGCCACCAUAUGUCUGCCACAAUGGCUAGCGUUCUGCUGGUAGAAGAAACCCUGACGGUGAUAGAAGAUCACUGAACUAACCAUAAUUCAAGCAUGAUGGCUACAACAGUGCUGAUAGAAAACAAUCAUUGCAGUUGCAAAUGCCAUACAUUUCACUAAGCACUGUAUUUUUGAUGACAGUAAUAUUUAGAGUUGAAGGAGUCAUGUUCUGCCAGUUUUUGGAUGGUCAAAGUAUGCAUCACAGAACAUAUUGCUAAAGUGAACAGUAUGUGGAACCGACUAUAACUCCUGUUAUUCAUUCGCACAGAAAAUAUGAAGCAGAAAAUGUCGAGGUUGUUGUGAGAGACCUGUACUAUGUCUGUUCUAUGUCUUUUGCAAAAGCUAUCACCGUUUCUCAACAAAAGUGAGGUGGAGAAUGUACUGGACGCCUCCAUUUUUCCCCUUUCUCUCCGUACUGUAAAGGUAGUUCUUUUUGUGUAGUCCAAUAAUACGAGAAUUUGAAAAAAGGUCUUUGGGUGUACUUGACAUAAUUGUGUGCCAGUCUAUAUCAUUGAACCCCCGUGGCACUGAGGACAAAACUUUACCUAGACAGUAUAUUUGGGUCCUAAGAACGCCAUUGGAGCCACAGGGCAUAUUGACUUUACACCACAUCAUGCAGGGCCACAAGGAAAAGAAACGAUUGUAGUUACCAUAAAACUUUGGUAUAUCAUACAUAACAUUGUACACAAAAACAGGACCGACAUAGUUAUUGUGGAGCCGGAUAGUGGAUAACACCAAAAAUUAAUGGGCUUACUAGGCUAACGCCAAUAAAUGGGCGGCCUUCCAAAUAGAGUGCUGAAGGUAUGAAAAACUAUUCGACCUUCACAAAGGCUUAGGAGAAUGUUCAGUAGCACUCCAAAUUAUCCAUUUACUUACUGUAUUGCUGCCUUAGCUCACAGUUGGAAAAAUAAGUAUAGAAAAUCAAAGAGAAAGAGCUAGCUGGCAUAUUCACAGUGGGUUAUGGCUGCGGGUUUGCUAUGUUGUGUUUAAUGAGAAGUGCAGAAAUUUGGGCUAGUUGGUACACAACUGCGAAAGGGAGAGUAUACAGACGGGACAAUGGAGGGACAGAGCUGCUUACAACUAAACUAUAAUGAUAAGAAACCCGACGCAGUCAUGUGCGCAGGUGCACUGCUAUCCCACCAUGUCAAAACAACGAGUACAGUGCUAGACAAAUGUUAGAGAACACGCUCCGGCGCAUUCCUUCCUCAGAGUGACAGCAAAUGGGACCGUACAGACUUAGACAUGUGCGUAUAGGUAGCCCAGUCACCUGUAUGCAAGUCCGUACGAUACCAUUCGCUGCCAGCUUGUCACUCGGAGGGAGGAGUGUGCCAGAGCAUGUUCCAUAAACUUUUGUCCAGCACUUUACAAGUAUAAAACUGAUUAACAAUGUAGAGUGGACUAGUUGGUAUGACAUCUUAGACUAUGGAGCUACAGCAGACAAGGACAAUACACCACUCCAUAAUCCACUGGUUUAUUUCUGGAAAAGGAAGGUUGAGCGUUGGGAUUGGGGGUUUUGAGACGAACUGAUUAGAAAGGAACUUUACACCUAGUGGUGAUCUUUUCCUGCUGUCCUUGUCCGCCAUAGCUCCGUAGUCGAAGUCUGUACAAGUAUGUCAGACAAGACCCUCAAAAUGACAUUUUUAGGCAUGUGCAAACAAAACCACCGUAAUGAUAAGGGGUGACACAAGUGAAAAAAAUGCCUAUGAUUUGAAUAAAAAUUCAAGUUUCUUAUCCACCAGACAAAUAGAAGCUUCAGUAGUACAA